AGCUACCUUUGCUGUAAUAAAUCCUGCAUUCCAGCAAAAUUGAGAUCAGACAAAUCCCUAUUACCAAUAAUCCCACUUGACUAUGUCCUACGAGAAAUAUAAUUGAAAUGUGAAGUAGAUAGUCUAAAUGGGGUUUUUAAGACUAAUUAGAAUGUGAUAGUCUAGAGCAUACAACUGUGAUGAAAUUGACAUAUCAUGAGUUCUCACUGAGUUCAGCUUCAGGGACAUCACUAUAUCCAUUUGUCGCAUUUUCUAUUGUAUAUCUUUUACUUAUCUAUCCUCAGUCGUUUAGAGAUUGAUCAGCUUUAGAGAAGACUAAUUGUCAUGUAUGUAAAAAUUAGCUUACCAAAUGCUCCAGGAUUAUUGAUA
RNAcentral lists this unclassified non-coding RNA (369 nucleotides) under Hevea brasiliensis (rubber tree). The record is from RNAcentral. Lineage: Eukaryota; Viridiplantae; Streptophyta; Magnoliopsida; Malpighiales; Euphorbiaceae.